AGUGAACGCUGGCGGUAGGCCUAACACAUGCAAGUCGAACGGCAGCACAGUAAGAGCUUGCUCUUACGGGUGGCGAGUGGCGGACGGGCGAGGAAUACAUCGGAAUCUACUUUUUCGUGGGGGAUAACGUAGGGAAACUUACGCUAAUACCGCAUACGACCUACGGGUGAAAGCAGGGGAUCUUCGGACCUUGCGCGAUUGAAUGAGCCGAUGUCGGAUUAGCUAGUUGGCGGGGUAAAGGCCCACCAAGGCGACGAUCCGUAGCUGGUCUGAGAGGAUGAUCAGCCACACUGGAGCUGAGACACGGUCCAGACUCCUACGGGAGGCAGCAGUGGGGAAUAUUGGACAAUGGGCGCAAGCCUGAUCCAGCCAUACCGCGUGGGUGAAGAAGGCCUUCGGGUUGUAAAGCCCUUUUGUUGGGAAAGAAAAGCAGCAGGUUAAUACCCCGCUGUUCUGACGGUACCCAAAGAAUAAGCACCGGCUAACUUCGUG
Molecule: ribosomal RNA, 492 nt
Filed under: uncultured bacterium
Lineage: Bacteria
Description: partial 16S ribosomal RNA
Rfam family: Bacterial small subunit ribosomal RNA
Source: RNAcentral